UCCUACGGGGGGCAGCAGUGAGGAAUAUUGGUCAAUGGGCGCUAGCCUGAACCAGCCAAGUAGCGUGAAGGAUGACUGCCCUAUGGGUUGUAAACUUCUUUUAUAUGGGAAUAAAGUGCAGUAUGUAUACUGCUUUGCAUGUACCUUAUGAAUAAGGAUCGGCUAACUCCGUGCCAGCAGCCGCGGUAAUACGGAGGAUGCGAGCGUUAUCCGGAUUUAUUGGGUUUAAAGGGUGCGCAGGCGGUCUGUUAAGUCAGCGGUCAAAGCCCGGGGCUCAACCCCGGCCCGCCGUUGAAACUGGCAGG
This 305-nucleotide ribosomal RNA is filed under the name uncultured bacterium. RNAcentral describes it as "bacterial SSU rRNA". It matches the Rfam family "Bacterial small subunit ribosomal RNA", at positions 337 to 640 of the family's 1533-position model. The record is from RNAcentral.